UCAUUUCUGUUAAACUUGGGUUAGAAGGCAUUGCAGAGCUUUUGAGAAGAUCAGUUUCUGCUGCAUUGUCAAGAUAUUCCAACAAUGAACGACUAAAUAUGCUCUUAGAGAAUAUAACAGAGAAAUUGGACACAAUAAUUGGUUCGUUUACUCGUUUAGACAAAGAGUUAUCCCACCUGAUGCAGAUAACGAAAUCUUACGAGUUCCUGGAAAGCAUUGAGAGUGCAGGCA
This 231-nucleotide unclassified non-coding RNA is filed under the name Hevea brasiliensis (rubber tree). Lineage: Eukaryota; Viridiplantae; Streptophyta; Magnoliopsida; Malpighiales; Euphorbiaceae. The record is from RNAcentral.